This 359-nucleotide ribosomal RNA is filed under the name uncultured bacterium. RNAcentral's name for it is "bacterial SSU rRNA". It matches the Rfam family "Bacterial small subunit ribosomal RNA", at positions 796 to 1165 of the family's 1533-position model. The record is from RNAcentral.
CACGCUGUAAACGAUGAUCACUCGUUGUUGGCGAUAUACCGUCAGCGACUGAGCGAAAGCAAUAAGUGAUCCACCUGGGGAGUACGGCGGCAACGCUGAAACUCAAAGGAAUUGACGGGGGCCCGCACAAGCGGAGGAACAUGUGGUUUAAUUCGAUGAUACGCGAGGAACCUUACCUGGGCUUGAAAGGGGAUCGAUCUCCCGGGAAACCGGGAUUCUCUUCGGAGCGAUCUCCUAGGUGCUGCAUGGUUGUCGUCAGCUCGUGCCGUGAGGUGUCGGGUUAAGUCCCGCAACGAGCGCAACCCUUGCCAAUAGUUGCUACGAAAGGGCACUCUAUUGGGACUGCCGGUGACAAACCG